CACAAGUAUUUGGCAUAGAAAAGAGUUCCUUCAGGUUGCUCAUAGCCAUACUAAGGAGUCCAGCCUCUAUAGAUCAUCUACAUGAAGAACAGAUGCUGAUCAGGCUCCUCGAGAAUGCUAGCACGCAAGGAUCUUUGAAGGCUGAUCUACUUCUUCUUCCUUUGAUCUCUUGGAUGCUCCAAAAGAGAAGAAGAAUCUAUGGAGGAAGGGGAGAGAGGAGAGAGCUUUGGAGGAGAAACAAAAAUCAGCCAAGAACACCUAUAGGGCAUCCAACUAUUGGACCACCCUUUAAAUAGAUGGGCAUCAGGAUUUUCAGUCAAGAGGGGGCACCAAAGACUCCACGCUACAUCCAUAUGUGGUGUCCCAAUUUUUCCAAAAAUAGGUGAUGGCAUGAGAAAGAAAUUAGGUCCUUCUCAUGUCAACAAACUCUUCAAAGAAAAUAAGAAAAAAAUUAUUUGACACCACCAUUGUUUCCAAACAUAACAGAUCUCUUUCUUUCUUAUCUCCUUAUCUUUAAUUCAGAUCACAUUCAAAUUAGGAAGGAGAUAAGGAUCAUAACUCAUCAUGCUUGCUGCCCACCCUAUCUAUGCCUUCUCUUC
RNAcentral lists this long non-coding RNA (599 nucleotides) under Elaeis guineensis (African oil palm). RNAcentral's name for it is "long non-coding RNA (EGUI_LNC074149)". The record is from RNAcentral. Lineage: Eukaryota; Viridiplantae; Streptophyta; Magnoliopsida; Arecales; Arecaceae.